GUAGCCUAAUGGUUAUAGUAGCUGACUUGAAAUGAAUCGCCCUAGGUUCGAUUCCUAGGAACU
This 63-nucleotide transfer RNA is filed under the name Trichonephila inaurata madagascariensis. RNAcentral's name for it is "tRNA-Ser". The record is from RNAcentral. Lineage: Eukaryota; Metazoa; Arthropoda; Arachnida; Araneae; Nephilidae.